RNAcentral lists this long non-coding RNA (1355 nucleotides) under Homo sapiens (human). Its description in RNAcentral is "HSALNT0251028". Lineage: Eukaryota; Metazoa; Chordata; Mammalia; Primates; Hominidae. The record is from RNAcentral.
CUUCUCGGAGCCUCUCUCCCAGUUGCCAGCUACCAAUUGCUCAUGAUGCUGCGUCAUAAAUCCAGCAGUCCACGAAUACUGGCUUCUGAUGACUCUCAAAGGUGACUAUGCUUUGCAGAUGAGGACCUCAAAUGCAAGUCUUAGCCAGAGUAUGCAGGAAGGGGUUACCAAUGGUUUAACCUCUGUUCAUGUUAAAUUUACCAUUUGGAAUUAUGUAGAAUAAUAUAAAACCACACAUCUUCUACCUAUGUCUUCUCUUAAGCUCUUUAGGCUGUAAUCACUGUAUUUCUAGAAUGUGGUCUCUUUUCAUGUUGGCCAAGACCCCUAUGUACUGGGUUGAACAGUGUUUUCCCAAAACUCAUAUCCACCUGCAACCUGUGAAUAUGAACUUAUUUGGAAAUAUUUGGUCUUUAUAGAUGUAUCAAGUUAAGGUAAGGUUAUGCAGGAUGGGGGUGGCGUGCCUACAUCCAAACAGUGGUAUUCUUAUAAGGAGAAGAAAAUUUGGAAACACAGAGACACACAGGGGACAUGCCAUGUGAAGACAGAGGCAGCUAUUGGAGAGAUACGUCUACGCGCCAAGGAUCACCAAGGAUUGCUGGCAACCAACAGAAGCUGGAACAAAAGCAUGGAACAGAUUCUCACUCAGAGCCUCCAGAAGGAAUUGGUUCUGCUGACACCUUGAAUUUGAACUUUUGGCCUCCAGGAUUGUGAGAGAACAAAGCUUUGUUCUGUUUAGACACCAAGUGGGUAGUAAUUUGUUGUAGCAGCCCUAGAAAAUGAAUACACCCUGCUUUCUACAGACUCAAUGAGAAGGAUGGGCCAGGAGCCCAUGGGUAGAGUGAGAAGGAAUGUCCAUCCUUGGUCCAGCAUGGUAUAAGACUGACCUGGAAAAACACGCCAGCACCACAUCAUUUGGAGGCAAAAGAGGACACUGAAGAGAAAGACUCAUAGGCGUUGUGGAACAGUGGUCUCAAAAAUCAUCAGAGGAAAUAGCAAAUGCCACCCCCAGAGGACAGCCUGACCAGUGACAUAGAGUCUACUUAGGGUAUGGGUGACAGCCACAUGUUGGCAGAUGUCUUUGACAAACUUCUUGUCUUAAUUCACAUUUUAAAAUCAUUAAUGAGCCUGAUAUUUUUAAUAAGCUUUCUGACCAUUAAUAUUUCUUUUUUUUGUAAUUGCUUGCUUGUGCCCUUUGCCCAUUUUCUAAUGGGUUGUUCCUCUUUUUUCUUACUUACUUGUAAGAGCUCUUCACAUAGUGAGGAUAUUAACCCUAUAACUGUCACAUAUGUUACAACUAUUUUUACCAUUUUGCCAUUAGCUUUUAUAUUUUGUUCUUACUGAUGUCUCUAAUAUUC